RNAcentral lists this unclassified non-coding RNA (226 nucleotides) under uncultured fungus. RNAcentral describes it as "sequence contains ITS1". The record is from RNAcentral. Lineage: Eukaryota; Fungi.
UUAGUUAUUGAAUUUCUCCUCAGACGGCACUGAUGACGAGUUUAAAAGGGCCUCCGGCGGGCUCACGCGGGGCCCGAGGGAUGACCCUCGGGCAUCGCGGCGCGAACGACGGCCCGCCGAAGCAACAAUGGUAGGUACGCACGGGGUGAAGAGUCGGGGCCGAAGCCCCGGGGGACGCGGGGUUCCACUCUCGUUAAUGAUCCUUCCGCAGGUUCACCUACGGAAA